Molecule: ribosomal RNA, 253 nt
Filed under: uncultured bacterium
Lineage: Bacteria
Description: partial 16S ribosomal RNA
Rfam family: Bacterial small subunit ribosomal RNA
Source: RNAcentral
UACGUAGGCAGCGAGCGUUGUUCGGAAUUACUGGGCGUAAAGAGUGUGUAGGCGGUGUUCCCAGUCUGUUGUGAAAUCUCCCGGCUUAACUGGGAGGGUGCAGCGGAAACUAGAAUGCUAGAGGGUGGGAGAGGUAAGCGGAAUUCCUGGUGUAGCGGUGAAAUGCGCAGAUAUCAGGAGGAACACCAAUGGCGAAGGCAGCUCGCUGGGACGGUACUGACGCUGAGGCGCGAAAGCGUGGGGAGCAAACAGG